AAAUUGAUGUGAAUACAGAAGAGGGGGUAGCGACUGUUUAUUAAAAACACAAGACUUUGCUAAAUUGGAAAAAUGACGUAUAAGGUCUGACAUCUGCCCAGUGGUGGGUAAUGAAAGUGACAGGAAUUUAAUUCUUGAAACAUAAGUCCCAUUCAACGGCGGCUGUAACCCUAACGGUCCUAAGGUAGCGAAAUUCCUUGUCAAAUAAGUAUUGACCUGCAUGAGUGAUGUAACGACUUCCCCACUGUCUCCAGAAUAGGUUCAGUGAAAUUGCAAUUUCCGUGAAGAUGCGGAAUAAUUAUGGCUAGACGGAGAGACCCUGUGCACCUUAACUAUAAUUUUAUAUCGCUAGAUAGAAUUGAUUGUGUAGUAUAGCUGUGAGUUUAUGAUCCCUUUUUAUAGGUUAGACAUCAGUGAAAUAGCAGUCUUUCAAAUCUUGAUAGCUAACUUUUU
Molecule: ribosomal RNA, 453 nt
Filed under: uncultured bacterium
Lineage: Bacteria
Description: bacterial LSU rRNA
Rfam family: Bacterial large subunit ribosomal RNA
Source: RNAcentral